GAUGAACGCUAGCUACAGGCUUAACACAUGCAAGUCGAGGGGAAACGGCAUUGAGUGCUUGCACUCUUUGGACGUCGACCGGCGCACGGGUGAGUAACGCGUAUCCAACCUUCCCAUUACUGUGGGAUAACCUGCCGAAAGGCAGACUAAUACCGCAUAGUCUUCGAUGACGGCAUCAGAUUUGAAGUAAAGAUUUAUCGGUAAUGGAUGGGGAUGCGUCUGAUUAGCUUGUUGGCGGGGUAACGGCCCACCAAGGCUACGAUCAGUAGGGGUUCUGAGAGGAAGGUCCCCCACAUUGGAACUGAGACACGGUCCAAACUCCUACGGGAGGCAGCAGUGAGGAAUAUUGGUCAAUGGACGGAAGUCUGAACCAGCCAAGUAGCGUGCAGGAUGACGGCCCUAUGGGUUGUAAACUGCUUUUGUAUGGGGAUAAAGUUAGGGACAUGUCCCUAUUUGCAGGUACCAUACGAAUAAGGACCGGCUAAUUCCGUGCCAGCAGCCGCGGUAAUACGGAAGGUCCAGGCGUUAUCCGGAUUUAUUUGGGUUUAAAGGGAGCGUAGGCUGGAGAUUAAGUGUGUUGUGGAAUGUAGACGCUCAACGUCUGAAUUGCAGCGCAUACUGGUUUCCUUGAGUACGCACAACGUUGGCGGAAUUCGUCGUGUGGCGGUGAAAUGCUUAGAUAUGACGAAGAACUCCGAUUGCGAAGGCAGCUGACGGGAGCGCAACUGACGCUUAUGCUCGAAGGUGCGGGUAUCAAACAGG
RNAcentral lists this ribosomal RNA (762 nucleotides) under Prevotella melaninogenica. Its description in RNAcentral is "bacterial SSU rRNA". It matches the Rfam family "Bacterial small subunit ribosomal RNA", at positions 28 to 776 of the family's 1533-position model. Lineage: Bacteria; Pseudomonadati; Bacteroidota; Bacteroidia; Bacteroidales; Prevotellaceae. The record is from RNAcentral.